This 1249-nucleotide ribosomal RNA is filed under the name Candidatus Woesebacteria bacterium. RNAcentral describes it as "partial 23S ribosomal RNA". It matches the Rfam family "Bacterial large subunit ribosomal RNA", at positions 116 to 1316 of the family's 2925-position model. Lineage: Bacteria; Candidatus Woeseibacteriota. The record is from RNAcentral.
CAAUGUUUUAAAUUUAAAAUUUUAAAAAUUUAAACUUGUUUCGGAUUUAGGAUUCAGGAUUUCGAGUUUUACGUGUAAUGUAGGUGGGGCACUCGGGGAACUGAAACAUCUCAGUACCCGAAGGAAAAUAAAACAAUAGUGAUAGCCCUAGUAGCGGCGAGCGAACGGGCCACAGUCUAAACUCAUGACGCAAGUUGUGAGGGUUGCGGGGCAGAUAAUAUGGGAUUUGUCGAGGAUAAAAAAACGCUUUGGAAAGAGCGGCCAUAGAAAGUGAUAGCCUUGUAUUUAAAAUCCGAGAUAACCCUAUUCUGUUCCCAAGUACUACGAGUCACGGCAAACCUUGUAGGAAUCCGGGUCGGUCACGACCCAAGACUAAAUACUCAAACUGACCGAUAGUGAACUAGUACCGUGAGGGAAAGGUGAAAAGAACCCAGAAAUGGGAGUGAAAUAGAAACUGAAACCAUUGGCUAACAAGCAGACAAAGUCUUGACGCAAGUCUUGAUACUGUCGUGCCUAUUGAAGAAUGAGUCAGCGAGUUUACGUUUACGGUUUGUUUAACCCCGAAAUAUUUGGGGGAAGACGUAGGGAAACCGAGUCCUAAUAGGGCGCUUUUAUCGUAAACGUAAGACCCGAAACUGUGUGAGCUAACCAUGGGCAGGAUGAUUCCCUCCGAAAGGAGGGAGGAGGUCCGAACCCGUUGUCGGUGAAAUGACAUGGGAGGACUUGUGGUUAGGGGUAAUAUGCCAAUCGAACACAGAGAUAGCUGGUUCUCCUCGAGAUAUAUUUAGGUAUAGCCUCUAGUUAACGUUACACGGGGUAGAGCUACUGGAUGGUCCCGAAAGAUUAAUUUCGAUCGGGAUCAACCAAACUCCUAAUACGUGUAAUUUAGUGCUAGGGAGUCAGUCGAGUCCGGAUAAGCGGAUUUCGGCGAAAGGGAAACAGCCCAGACUCUCGUCUGAGGUUCUAAAGUGGCUUUUAAGUGAAAAGGCCGUUUGAUUUCCAAUACAGCAGGUAGGUUGGCUCAGAAGCAGCCAUCCUUUACAGAGUGCGUAACAGCUCACCUGAAUAUUUCCAAUUUAUUGGAAUGGAGAUCUUGCGCCUAAAAUGAUCGGAGCUAAAGAGCCCACCGAAGACGGAGAUGCGAUCGCAAGAUCGCGUGGUAGAGGAGCUUCCUAUAAACAGUGAAGGCAAGAUUGUAAGAUCUGCUGGAGAUUAUAGGAGUGAGAAUGCUGACAUAAGUAGUGAAUCU